RNAcentral lists this ribosomal RNA (531 nucleotides) under uncultured bacterium. RNAcentral's name for it is "bacterial SSU rRNA". It matches the Rfam family "Bacterial small subunit ribosomal RNA", at positions 774 to 1318 of the family's 1533-position model. The record is from RNAcentral.
AGAGAAUAGAUACCCUGGUAGUCCACGCCGUAAACGAUGGAUGCUAGCUGUUAUCAGUAUCGACCCUGGUAGUAGCGAAGCUAACGCGUUAAGCAUCCCGCCUGUGGAGUACGAGCGCAAGCUUAAAACAUAAAGGAAUUGACGGGGACCCGCACAAGCGGUGGAGCGUGUUCUUUAAUUCGAUGGUAAGCGAAGAACCUUACCAGGGUUUGACAUCCUACUAAUCCAGGUGAAAGCCAGGAGUGCCUUCGGGCCGUAGAGACAGGUGUUGCAUGGCCGUCGUCAGCUCGUGUCGUGAGAUGUUUGGUUAAGUCCAUUAACGAGCGCAACCCUUAUGGCUAGUUGAAUUUCUCUAGUCAGACUGCCCCGGUAACGGGGAGGAAGGAGGGGAUGAUGUCAGGUCUGUAUUACCCUUACACCCUGGGCUAGAAACACGCUACAAUGGCCGGUACAAAGCGCAGCUAAGCCGCGAGGUGGAGCAAAUCGCAUCAAAGCCGGUCUCAGUUCGGAUAGCAGGCUGAAACUCGCCUG